AAAAAGCUCAAAUGUAACAUUUUAUCCUCUAUUUUUAAAAAUUUAAAUUUUUAUUAGUAGCUACAGAUGAAGUAAAUGGAAUUUUGAGAGGAAUUUCCACUAUCUACUUCUAAUGGGCAAAAUACCAUGCUACCUGGACACAGCAGAAAACCGGGAGGCUACUUACUAUAAUAACAAGUGGGGAUUAAGAAGAAGUGCAGAGGGUUGAGGAGGUGGUAUCUGGUUCUCCAGGUGAAUCAUAACACAAUUGCAGAUAUGCAGAUCUUACCUAGACAUUGUGAUCUGGUGAAGGUAUAACUCAGUGCAUGUGAGGGUAAGUAUACACCUUUAUCUCUCCAAAACUGGGAUUAAAAAAAUAAACCAGGAGGAACCAUU
RNAcentral lists this long non-coding RNA (375 nucleotides) under Vulpes vulpes (red fox). RNAcentral's name for it is "lncRNA (ENSVVUG00000001958.1)". The record is from RNAcentral. Lineage: Eukaryota; Metazoa; Chordata; Mammalia; Carnivora; Canidae.